CAUUGCUUUCGGUAUGAUCCUUUCUUUUUCUUCUCAUUUUCCUUUGACAGCUUAAACAGUUAUCUCUGUUGAUAGUGGCUCACGAAAGUUUGAAGAUGAUGUUUAGUUAUGUUAUUUUAGAAGGGUUCUACGAUUGCCAAUGUCUUCUAUGAAAAAUGAAGUAAACCGUAUCCCCAUCAAUUUAGGUGUUUAGUUAUGAUCGUAAAUUAUUUAGUAAAUGAAUAUACUAUCAUAAAUGUUGUAUGAUAUUUUCAGCAAACAUCGAAUUUUGGGCGGUAAGCUUGUUUAAAAUUUUAAAGACUCUUAAAUCUGAAAUAAUUCAUCAAAAUUUUUGAAUUGAUAUUUGCUUGAUUAAGUCUCUCCAGAAUUUACUAUGUAUUCUCACCGUAUUUUUAAGAUCAUGAAAGGUUAUAGAUUGAAUAGUUGAUUUUAGGUGGUACAACUCUUAUAAGAUGUGUUGUUCAUACGAUAUAUUGCUAUUCAAUCCAAUUUCGUGUGCAUUAAGUUAGGUUAUAUAAACUAAUGUUUCAUACGUUUGCAUCUUAUUCAUGCAUCAUUGUCUUGGAUGGUAUCUCUUCCAAGCUUUGUACUUCUUCACGAAACGAUGGAGUCACACCAUCUCUGCAAAGCUCUGCAAAAUUUAAGAACUACAAAGGAAGGGAAUCCGAGUAGAUUCAGAAAGAUGGAGGAAUUGCAAUAUGAGAAUAGGGAGUGAUUAAAUAAAGGUGGUUGAGAUUGUUGAUGUGACCAAGUUGAUGGAAUUCACACACUUUCUAAAAAACUGUCGAGCAUGGUUAAGUCUUGUCAAUGCCAAGAUUAUGGAAAUGUGUGGAUAUAGGUCUCACAAGGAAAUGUGAGAUCUAAAGUAGGAAUGUGUCUACUCGUUAUUAACAGUAAGUUCUUCUAA
Raphanus sativus (radish) is the source of this 907-nucleotide long non-coding RNA. RefSeq lists it as uncharacterized. The transcript is spliced from 3 exons. The record is from RefSeq and is a predicted model, not a curated record. NCBI's taxonomy places the organism in Eukaryota, Viridiplantae, Streptophyta, Magnoliopsida, Brassicales, Brassicaceae.